UACAGAGGUUGCAAACGUUGUUCGGAAUCACUGGGCAUAAAGCGCACGUAGGCGGUCUGUUAAGUCAGGUGUGAAAGCCCCCGGCUCAACCGGGGAACAGCAUUUGAUACUGGCAGACUCGAGGAUGGUAGGGGUGAGUGGAACUCCAGGUGGAGCGGUGAAAUGCGUAGAUAUCUGGAGGAACACCGGUGGCGAAAGCGGCUCACUGGACCAUAACUGACGCUGAGGUGCGAAAGCGUGGGGAGCAAACAGG
Molecule: ribosomal RNA, 253 nt
Filed under: uncultured bacterium
Lineage: Bacteria
Description: partial 16S ribosomal RNA
Rfam family: Bacterial small subunit ribosomal RNA
Source: RNAcentral